RNAcentral lists this ribosomal RNA (549 nucleotides) under uncultured bacterium. Its description in RNAcentral is "bacterial SSU rRNA". It matches the Rfam family "Bacterial small subunit ribosomal RNA", at positions 844 to 1398 of the family's 1533-position model. The record is from RNAcentral.
UGCUGCAGUUAACGCAAUAAGUUCUCCGCCUGGGGAGUAUGCACGCAAGUGUGAAACUCAAAGGAAUUGACGGGGGCCCGCACAAGCGGUGGAGUAUGUGGUUUAAUUCGAAGCAACGCGAAGAACCUUACCAGGCCUUGACAUGGAUAUAAAUGUUCUAGAGAUAGAAAGAUAGCUAUAUAUCACACAGGUGGUGCAUGGUUGUCGUCAGCUCGUGUCGUGAGAUGUUGGGUUAAGUCCCGCAACGAGCGCAACCCUUGUCUUCUGUUACCAGCAUUAGGUUGGGGACUCAGGAGAGACUGCCGGUGACAAACCGGAGGAAGGUGGGGAUGACGUCAAAUCAUCAUGCCCCUUAUGGCCUGGGCUACACACGUACUACAAUGGCGCCUACAAAGAGCAGCGACACCGCGAGGUGGAGCGAAUCUCAUAAAGGGCGUCUCAGUUCGGAUUGAAGUCUGCAACUCGACUUCAUGAAGUCGGAAUCGCUAGUAAUCGCAGAUCAGCAUGCUGCGGUGAAUACGUUCUCGGGCCUUGUACACACCGCCCGUC